AAGUCGUAACAAGGUUUCCGUAGGUGAACCUGCGGAAGGAUCAUUAUCCAUCUCAACCAGGUGCGGUCGCGGCCCCCGGGGUCUAUGAACCCGGGUGGUAGGGGUAACACCUUCACGCGCCGCGCUCCUGAAUCCUUUUUUUACGAGCACCUUUCGUUCUCCUUCGGCGGGGCAACCUGCCGUUGGAAUCAUAUAAAACCUUUUUUGCAUCUAGCAUUACCUGUUCUGAUACAAACAAUCGUUACAACUUUUAACAACGGAUCUCUUGGCUCUC
This 274-nucleotide unclassified non-coding RNA is filed under the name Paraphaeosphaeria sp. RNAcentral's name for it is "partial internal transcribed spacer region". The stretch from base 1 to 46 matches the Rfam family "Eukaryotic small subunit ribosomal RNA", at positions 1786 to 1831 of the family's 1831-position model. The record is from RNAcentral. Lineage: Eukaryota; Fungi; Ascomycota; Dothideomycetes; Pleosporales; Didymosphaeriaceae.